UCUCUUAAACCCAAUUUGAGAUUACGAUCUUGAAAUUUUAUUAAACUGGUGAAUGAAUUUGAAAAUUUAUAUUAUUAUCUUUUAAAUUAGUCUUUAAAUUAAUUCUCGAGCUUUACCUCAAGAUAAAUUGUUUUAACAUAAAAUAAAAAUAAUAGACCUAUCAUUUUCCCCUACCCUCACACUCACUCACUGACUCUCUCACACUCCCUCUAUCUCAACCGACACUCUUCUCUCUCUCUCCUCACCAUGUCGCCUCUCCCCUCUCCGUUUGAGCAGCCGCACCACCACCGCACCGCGCCACUGUUCUGCCUUCCCUUUUCGCCGGUCACCGCUGAUGCGGUUGUUGUUAUUAAUUUGUGGGGCGGAUUCACAUCUUCUCUCCCUUCUCGUCUCCUCCUCUCUCUCGUCCCAGCUAUGUGACGUCGCCGCCGGUGGUGGCUGCAAAAACCACCCAUGUUGAUUCUCUCUCUUCAAUUGGUAAAUUUACUUGAACUUUUUUGUCAAAUAUAUAUAUAGCUAAAAACCCCCAAAUUGAAGGAACCCUAACUCUCUUCCUUGAUUCUUAUUUUCUCUCUUAUUGUGGCGCACCGACCUUCCACUGCCGCCUCCCCCCUCGUUGUUGCAUGCGGCGACUCUGCUCCGUCGCCGCCGCCGCUGCCGCUGCUGUUGUUAUUGUGGUUCUCGGUCCUGCUAUUGUUGAGUUCCCUUCUUGUCUUUCCAUUUAAACUUAAGGAUAGAUGAUUGGAGAAAGGUUAAGGAGAUUUGAAUCGUGGAUUUAAGCAGAGAGUGGUACUCAAAUGAGACUUGAGAUUUAUGUGUGGUGAUUCGAGAGUUAAAAUGUUUUGCAGGUAGCGAGAAUCGAGUUUCAGUUCAGGUUCAAGGUGCGUAGAGUCCUCCGGAUGUCUUAUAUGUUUCAAGGCGGGUUUAUCGAUUCUCUAAGUGUAUUCAAGUUUUUUUUCCAAUUUGUUAAUGGGUUGUAUUAUUCCUUUCUAGAGCUUUUCGGUUUAUUAUUUAUGGAUUGUAUAUCCUUGUUGAGUUGGUGACACCCUGGUGAUGUCUUGGGAAAUGUUAUAUGUUGGAAUGUUGUAAUUGAAGCAGGUGAAAGAAAAUCUGACGUAAUAUCCUAAGAAAUGUUUUAGGUUGUCCGUAUUUAGGGGAAGUGCUGCCGAAAUUUUUAAUAACUAAUUAAGUUUAA
Long non-coding RNA from Spinacia oleracea (spinach), 1195 nucleotides. RefSeq lists it as uncharacterized. NCBI's taxonomy places the organism in Eukaryota, Viridiplantae, Streptophyta, Magnoliopsida, Caryophyllales, Amaranthaceae. The record is from RefSeq and is a predicted model, not a curated record. The transcript has 3 exons.